GAUGAAGAACGUAGCAAAAUGCGAUACUUGGUGUGAAUUGCAGAAUCCCGUGAACCAUCGAGUUUUUGAACGCAAGUUGCGCCCGAAACCAUCCGGUUGAGGGCACGCCUGCCUGGGUGUCACGCAUCGCGUCGUCCCCCAACAUACUCCCCCAUACUGGGUUGUCAUGUUGAUUGGGGACGGAGAUUGGCCUCCUGUGCUUCUGGUGCGGUUGGCCUAAAUAGGAGGCCCCUUCGGUGGAUACACGGCUAGUGGUGGUUGUUAAGACCCUCGUAUUGUGCUGUGUGUUGUGAGCUGUUAGGGAAACCCUCACCAAAGACCCUAUUGUAUCGUCUUGGUACGAUGCUUCGACCGCGACCCCAGGUCAGGCGGGACUACCCGCUGAGUUUAAGCAUAUCAAUAAGCGGAGGA
This 411-nucleotide unclassified non-coding RNA is filed under the name soil metagenome. Its description in RNAcentral is "partial contains 5.8S ribosomal RNA, internal transcribed spacer 2, and large subunit ribosomal RNA". The stretch from base 1 to 122 matches the Rfam family "5.8S ribosomal RNA", at positions 35 to 154 of the family's 154-position model. The record is from RNAcentral.